AUAUUGUUGUUUGUUUUACUUUUGUUCUUUGUUAUUUUCUACAAAGGCAUAAUGCCUGUUAUAAGUAUUAAAAAUAUUCAGAAUAUGUAGAUCAAAACGCAGGUUGUUGACACGUCAAGCUUUGAAGACAACUUUCAGACAGAAUACAAGCAGCAUGGUAAACAAUUGGCGAAUUGGCUUCCUGACAUGUAUUAAUCAACAUCGUUAGCAGCUUUGAGACCAAAGACAUAAAGGUGCGUUUUCCCAAGUAACAGUUCGGACAAGCGGAUGUACAAUUAGAUACCCCAUCAAGGUUCAAGCUAGAUAGUGAUCAACGCACCAAAGAAAUUUAAAAUUCACUUUCGACUGGCAGAAAAUGUGUCAGUUCAAACAAAAUCAGACAAUUGAACAAACAAAUUAUCUAAACUAUGCCAAGAGAGAUAACUACAGAAGAUAAACAACAAACAACAAAGAUAUUUUUUAAUACUUUUAUUUUGUUCAUAUCCUUUACAACUGAUCGGGUUUUUCAAUGAUAAAAAAACUUUACGUUUUCAAAAUUCAUAACAAAAUAUGAAAACAUAUGAUCACAUGCCUCACAAAAGAGAAAAUAAAAAUUCUGUACAUGAACAGAAAUCUUAUAGUUUAUUUGGGGGGAUCAGUUAUAAAGGAUAUGUUAAAAAUUGCAACAUAAAAAUGAUACAAUAAUUAUACACAAUAGAAAUGUCAUCACAUCUCUGUUAUGUAUAGAACACAGUUCAAUCAUAAGAUUUCUUACACAUAAAACUGCAUAAAAAUUCAAAAUAACUGUCCAGUUAUUAAACUUGAAUAACUGACAAAAAAAACAACAAUAAAUGUAUGUACAAAUAUAAAAUGACAUAAGGAGUGAGAAAUUAAAAGGCAGUUAUUUUUUUCAACUUUUUUUCUAAAAUAACAACAUAAGAACUUUUUCUUUACAGUUUUACAAUUUUUCUUAUUGAAACUUAAGUGUUAAAAUUAAUUCAUAUUUGCUAUAAAAUAAUGCCCCAAUGAAGUGAUGAAAGACUUGCAACAGGCAUUGUAUAUAUUUAUUGAAUAUUGUACAGAAAUUGUGCUUAUAUAUACAUGUAAUGUUUGUUCGAAUAAUAAACAUGUGCCUGUGCCAAACUUUAAAUACAAGUAAACAAUAAAAA
This is a long non-coding RNA of Ruditapes philippinarum (Manila clam), 1148 nucleotides long. RefSeq lists it as uncharacterized. The transcript is spliced from 2 exons. The record is from RefSeq and is a predicted model, not a curated record. Lineage: Eukaryota; Metazoa; Mollusca; Bivalvia; Venerida; Veneridae.